RNAcentral lists this long non-coding RNA (884 nucleotides) under Neogobius melanostomus (round goby). RNAcentral's name for it is "lncRNA (ENSNMLG00000026962.1)". The record is from RNAcentral. Lineage: Eukaryota; Metazoa; Chordata; Actinopteri; Gobiiformes; Gobiidae.
UGAGCUUCCAAACAGCAGAUGGCGCUGUCUUAGAUCUGCUGUGCUGAAUCUGAGGCGGCUCCGGUCUGUCCUUUACAUGAUGAGGUUUAUCUCUGUGUUUAACGGCUCUGACUCUCCCCCAGGACAAGACGAGGAGGAAAUGUCAAAAAGAAAAGAACAGCCUCUGGCUCUGAGCCUCCAGAGGGCAGCACUGAGCCUCCAGAGGGCAGCACUGAGCCACAGCUCUAUGGGACAAAACGCAGAUCCACAGCCUCAGUGUCCGCUCUGUCCAUGAAGAGUGACUGGUCUAAAGGCCACGUUCCAAACUUCAGUCCUGAACCUGCUCCAGACUCACGAAGCAGAUCCACAGCCUCAGUGUCCGCUCUGUCCAUGAAGAGUGACUGGUCUAAAGGCCACGUUCCAAACUUCAGUCCUGAACCUGCUCCAGACUCACGAAGCAGAUCUACAGCCUCAGUGUCCGCUCUGUCCAUGAAGAGUGACUGGUCUAAAGGCCACGUUCCAAACUUCAGUCCUGAACCUGCUCCAGACUCACGAAGCAGAUCCACAGUGUCCGCUCUGUCCAUGAAGAGUGACUGGUCUAAAGGCCACGUUCCAAACUUCAGUCCUGAACCUUCUCCAGACUCACGAAGCAGAUCUACAGCCUCAGUGUCCGCUCUGUCCAUGAAGAGUGACAGGUCUAAAGAGUUCCCUCCAGAGUUCAGUGGUGAACCUGCUCCAGACUCACAAGAAACAGAGUCAGAGCAGGACGCCUGGCCUCAGUGUGGAGACACAGGCAACAGUCCUGAUCAGUGGGUUCAAGGCCCUGCACCAGGUGAGUCUGCUCAGUCUGAGACUCAUGAACUACAGCAGGGAAUAAGAGACCUGUUCAUCAACAUUAACAGGUG